Long non-coding RNA from Homo sapiens (human), 593 nucleotides. Ensembl annotates it as cutA divalent cation tolerance like, pseudogene. Its record names the gene CUTALP. The record is from Ensembl. NCBI's taxonomy places the organism in Eukaryota, Metazoa, Chordata, Mammalia, Primates, Hominidae.
GGAUACAGAAUCUGAGUCUGAGGGGAGCCUGGUUGACAGAGAGACAAAAAAAGAAAUUUUUUUUUUCUGACUAAAAAAAAAAAGGAAAUUUUGUUAACAAAAUCAAGAAUUUAAAAAAAAUGCUGUGAGAGCUGAUCUAUGCAUCUGGUUUGUGAGCCAGUAUUCUGUGAUGGCUGCAGUUUUUAGAGAUCCUAGUAGCUCUACACAUCUGUCUUCUGCUUUCCUAGAACCUGGGCACCCCAUGGAUGACUCACUGCUGGUUUUGUGUGUGUGGCCAUGCUGGAUAAGGAGCUGGCUGCCUCUGUGAACAUCCUACUCAAGGCAUCUUCACUGCUGUACAUCCUUUUGAAAUCCCAGAGAUCUUCAGUCUCCCUGUGGAUUAAGGAGAUGUGCAGUAUUUAAAGUGGCUUCAGGAAGGCAUGGAAGAGGACUGAGUGGGGAAAGCUUUUUGUGCAUGCUGCUGGCUACCUCCAGCGGCUGCCUCCAGCCUCCAUCAGCUGCACUCUGGGGAAGAGGAGGCUGCCUUCUACCUCCCAGCAUCUCUGGAUUUCAUGUUCCUGUCAGCACAGAGGAGCUAAAUGGCCUGUAGAGGC